This 408-nucleotide unclassified non-coding RNA is filed under the name uncultured Ambispora. RNAcentral's name for it is "SSU rRNA". It matches the Rfam family "Eukaryotic small subunit ribosomal RNA", at positions 569 to 988 of the family's 1831-position model. Lineage: Eukaryota; Fungi; Glomeromycota; Glomeromycetes; Archaeosporales; Ambisporaceae. The record is from RNAcentral.
CGCAGCCACGGUAAUUCCAGCUCCAAUAGCGUAUAUUAAAGUUGUUGCAGUUAAAAGCUUGUAGUUGAAUUUCGGGAUUGACACAUCAGUCGUGCCUUAAGGGGUAUGAACUGGUGUAGUCAAUUUCUCACCUUCUGGAGAACUGUGAUGCCCUUAAUUGGGUGCCAGGACCUUUACUUUGAAAAAUUAGAGUGUUUAAAGCAGCAUUUUGCUUGGAUACAUUAGCAUGGAAUAAUAAAAUAGGAUGGCAUGAUUCUAUUUUGUUGGUUUCUAGGAUCACCAUAAUGAUUAAUAGGGAUAGUUGGGGGCAUUAGUAUUCAAUUGUCAGAGGUGAAAUUCUUGGAUUUUAUUGAAGACUAACUACUGCAAAAGCAUUUGCCAAGGAUGUUUCAUUAAUCAAGAAUGAAA